Molecule: ribosomal RNA, 759 nt
Filed under: uncultured Enterobacteriaceae bacterium
Lineage: Bacteria; Pseudomonadati; Pseudomonadota; Gammaproteobacteria; Enterobacterales; Enterobacteriaceae
Description: bacterial SSU rRNA
Rfam family: Bacterial small subunit ribosomal RNA
Source: RNAcentral
AUUGAACGCUGGCGGCAGGCCUAACACAUGCAAGUCGAACGGUAACAGGAAACAGCUUGCUGUUUCGCUGACGAGUGGCGGACGGGUGAGUAAUGUCUGGGAAACUGCCUGAUGGAGGGGGAUAACUACUGGAAACGGUAGCUAAUACCGCAUAACGUCGCAAGACCAAAGAGGGGGACCUUCUGGCCUCUUGCCAUCGGAUGUGCCCAGAUGGGAUUAGCUAGUAGGUGGGGUAACGGCUCACCUAGGCGACGAUCCCUAGCUGGUCUGAGAGGAUGACCAGCCACACUGGAACUGAGACACGGUCCAGACUCCUACGGGAGGCAGCAGUGGGGAAUAUUGCACAAUGGGCGCAAGCCUGAUGCAGCCAUGCCGCGUGUAUGAAGAAGGCCUUCGGGUUGUAAAGUACUUUCAGCGGGGAGGAAGGGAGUAAAGUUAAUACCUUUACUCAUUGACGUUACCCGCAGAAGAAGCACCGGCUAACUCCGUGCCAGCAGCCGCGGUAAUACGGAGGGUGCAAGCGUUAAUCGGAAUUACUGGGCGUAAAGCGCACGCAGGCGGUUUGUUAAGUCAGAUGUGAAAUCCCCGGGCUCAACCUGGGAACUGCAUCUGAUACUGGCAAGCUUGAGUCUCGUAGAGGGGGGUAGAAUUCCAGGUGUAGCGGUGAAAUGCGUAGAGAUCUGGAGGAAUACCGGUGGCGAAGGCGGCCCCCUGGACGAAGACUGACGCUCAGGUGCGAAAGCGUGGGGAGCAAACAGG